ACGGGGGGGGCAAGCGUUGUUCGGAAUUACUGGGCGUAAAGGGCGCGUAGGCGGUCUACUAAGUUGGAUGUGAAAACUCUGGGCUUAAUCCAGAGCCUGCAUUCAAAACUGAUAGGCUGGAGUUCUGGAGGGGAUAGCGGAAUUCCUGGUGUAGCGGUGAAAUGCGUAGAUAUCUGGAGGAACACCGGUGGCGAAGGCGGCUUCCUGGACCAGUACUGACGCUGAGGCGCGAAAGCUAGGGGAGCAAACAGGA
RNAcentral lists this ribosomal RNA (253 nucleotides) under uncultured prokaryote. RNAcentral describes it as "partial 16S ribosomal RNA". It matches the Rfam family "Bacterial small subunit ribosomal RNA", at positions 525 to 777 of the family's 1533-position model. The record is from RNAcentral.